AUGGCGGAGCUUUUGGCUUCUUGGGCCGCCGAGGAGCGGUGGAUGUACCCGGCCUUCCUGGCCAUGUACGCCGUCAUCUACUGUGUCGGGCAACUGGUCUUGUUCCGGCGCUGGGAGUGGAGGCACCGGCUGGACGGCGCUAGCUGCCUCAUCUCACUCGCGCACGGCUCCGCUGCCGCGCUGGCGGCGGUCGCAGCCAUCGCCGCGCAGCCGGCGGGGAACCGGGGUUUCGCUGCUCCUAAUUCCCGCAUGCAGGACCACGUCCUCGACUACAGUGUCGCCUACUUCACCAUGGACCUGCUCCACUAUCUCGCCUUCCUCCCCGGGGACAUCCUCUUCAUCGCCCACCACCUCGCCACACUUUUUGUCUUCUUCACCUGUCGCUACGUCGUCCACCAUGGCGCAUACGCACUCCUCGUCCUGCUCUUUCUCGCCGAGGUAACCAGCCUCCUGCAGAAUGUGUGGACACUCGCCGGGAUCUGGCGAGCCGAGGUUCCCACUGCUGCAAGGGUGUACAACACUUUGUCGCCGCCGUUCUAUGUGCUAUACACCAUAGUCAGGGGCGUCGCGGGACCGGUCUUCUUCCUCAAGAUGAGCCUAUUCUAUCUGUCCGGCCAGGCCGUGGAUCUCAUCCCCUGGUGGGUGCGCAUAUCCUGGAUCAUUGUCGUCGGCGCUGCUAUCACGACUUCCCAGAGCUGCACAGCCCAUGCCGCGAAGAUGAUGUGCCAACGUCAGGCUUGGCAGUCUGCAGAAAAGAAAGAAUAUAAAUAG
Molecule: ribosomal RNA, 771 nt
Filed under: Triticum aestivum (bread wheat)
Lineage: Eukaryota; Viridiplantae; Streptophyta; Magnoliopsida; Poales; Poaceae
Description: partial small subunit ribosomal RNA
Source: RNAcentral